AGAUAAGACAACAAGCAUACAUGAAGCAAGAUUCAUAUCAGCGAAAAUGGGGCAGGGUUUUAACUCAUUUAAGGUGAAGAUUACACCUCUGCGAAGCUCCAUCACAGAUCAGCCUCUUCCUUGGAGCACUGCCCAGCACACCUGGAAAAGAAAAUGACCACAAGGAAAAAUCGAUAAGCUCCACAAUCGACCAAGAUAGAAGGUCAAAAAUGGAGGCGCAACGGAAGGGAGAAAGAAAUGCUCACAGUAGUAGCGGGUACGGGAGGCGAUAUUUCAGACAAGGCGACGGAGGAUAUGGCUAUUGUCCAUUCACUUUCCAAACGUGGAAAUGCC
Molecule: long non-coding RNA, 333 nt
Filed under: Solanum tuberosum (potato)
Lineage: Eukaryota; Viridiplantae; Streptophyta; Magnoliopsida; Solanales; Solanaceae
Description: long non-coding RNA (STUB_LNC008979)
Source: RNAcentral